RNAcentral lists this unclassified non-coding RNA (232 nucleotides) under Hevea brasiliensis (rubber tree). Lineage: Eukaryota; Viridiplantae; Streptophyta; Magnoliopsida; Malpighiales; Euphorbiaceae. The record is from RNAcentral.
GUGUCUUGUUUCCAAGAAAAUUGAUAAAGGAACAAUAACUUCAAGGAAACAACAAAAUCAGGAGUAGUGAUCUUAUUCUUGGAAAGCAAAAUAGGAACUCAGGGAAAGGAAAUUUUUUUUUAUCACAAAUAUUUCUGGAAUUUGGAAAAAGUCUGGUUCUCGAGAAAGAAGAAAUUAGGGACAAAAAUAGAGGAAGAACAAAAGUUUUAAGAAUUUCAAGAAACAGGUUUCU